GCUCAGUGGCGGACGGGUGCGUAACACGUGAGGAACAUGCCCAUCGGUGGGGGACAGCCGGCCCAACGGCCGGGUAAUACCGCGUACGACGGCGGUGCCGCAUGGCGCUGCCGUGAAAGCAGCAAUGCGCCGAUGGAGUGCCUCGCGGCCUAUCAGCUAGUUGGUGAGGUAACGGCUCACCAAGGCGACGACGGGUAGCUGGUCUGAGAGGAUGGCCAGCCACAUUGGGACUGAGACACGGCCCAGACUCCUACGGGAGGCAGCAGUGGGGAAUAUUGCGCAAUGGCCGAAAGGCUGACGCAGCGACGCCGCGUGUGGGAUGAAGGUCUUCGGAUUGUAAACCACUGUCGGGAGGGACGAAGCUCUGACGGUACCUCCAAAGGAAGCACCGGCUAACUCUGUGCCAGCAGCCGCGGUAAUACAGAGGGUGCGAGCGUUGUCCGGAAUCACUGGGCGUAAAGGGCGCGUAGGUGGCCAGGUAAGUAGGGGGUGAAAUGCUGCGGCUCAACCGCAGCGCUGCCUCCUAGACUGUCUGGCUGGAGCACAGUAGAGGCAGGUGGAAUUCCCGGUGUAGCGGUGGAAUGCGUAGAGAUCGGGAAGAACACCAGUGGCGAAGGCGGCCUGCUGGGCUGUUGCUGACGCUG
Molecule: ribosomal RNA, 644 nt
Filed under: uncultured Gemmatimonadaceae bacterium
Lineage: Bacteria; Pseudomonadati; Gemmatimonadota; Gemmatimonadia; Gemmatimonadales; Gemmatimonadaceae
Description: bacterial SSU rRNA
Rfam family: Bacterial small subunit ribosomal RNA
Source: RNAcentral